This 465-nucleotide ribosomal RNA is filed under the name uncultured bacterium. RNAcentral describes it as "partial 16S ribosomal RNA". It matches the Rfam family "Bacterial small subunit ribosomal RNA", at positions 28 to 507 of the family's 1533-position model. The record is from RNAcentral.
GACGAACGCUGGCGGCGUGCUUAACACAUGCAAGUCGAACGGAAAGGCCCUGCUUGCAGGGUACUCGAGUGGCGAACGGGUGAGUAACACGUGGGUGAUCUGCCCCGCACUUCGGGAUAAGCCUGGGAAACUGGGUCUAAUACCGGAUAGGAGCCAUUUUUAGUGUGAUGGUUGGAAAGUUUUUUCGGUGUAGGAUGAGCUCGCGGCCUAUCAGCUUGUUGGUGGGGUAAUGGCCUACCAAGGCGGCGACGGGUAGCCGGCCUGAGAGGGUGGACGGCCACAUUGGGACUGAGAUACGGCCCAGACUCCUACGGGAGGCAGCAGUGGGGAAUAUUGCACAAUGGGCGCAAGCCUGAUGCAGCGACGCCGCGUGGGGGAGGACGGCCUUCGGGUUGUAAACUCCUUUCGCUAGGGACGAAGCUUUUUGUGACGGUACCUAGAUAAGAAGCACCGGCUAACUACGUG